AAAAAAAAAAGGAAUAAAAGACUAAGAAGAAAUAUAAGAGGAAGAGAGACUGACGCGACAGGGCGGACGACGCAGAGAAGACGGAAGCAGAGGCGCAGCAGAAGCAAAAGAAGUCAGGAGCAGAAGAGGAACCAAAAACGGGUGUUUUAUUUCUUGUUAUUUUUUUAUGGAUAAUUUCUUAUGUAUGAACAUAAUUAUGUGUAACUAAUUUUAUUAUGCUAGAGUAAGGCCAUGAGCCGCAACAUGAAUACGUAGAUUUAUUUUCAAUUGCUUAAGUAUUGUUACAUGCUUGCUUUGAUAUUUUCAAUCACCGAAUUAAACUAUCUAUGUACCUUGAUGCUUGAUCACCAUUAGGAUGCUUAGAAAAAGUUAUCGGAUGCAAUUUUGAACGAAUGUCACGUUAAAAUUGGUUGUGCUUCUUGUGAUUGAGGAUUGUAUUCUCCUAAGGUAAAUAUCAUGCUCUUAGGGAUUAUAUGGUUUAACAAAAGGAUUUUCACCAAGAUUAAUGAAUCACUCAUGUUUAUAUUUAAUCCAAAUGUCAUGGAUAAGUUGCAUGUAGUGGUAUGCGUUUUAGCUUGAAUGUCACAAGUAAAACAUACACAAGGAAAAUCCAACCUUCAAAGCAUAUGUGUUUUCAAUUAUUUAAGCAAUUGGAAUAGCUACGUAGGAGUGUUGUUGGUAAAGGUUGAACUCUAGCAUAUUGUCAAUCUAUUUUUCUUCAAUCAUUUAUUUUAUCUUGAAUUUCCUUAUUUGCUUGUUUUGUUUAAGUUGAAUCAUUAUUCCUAUAAAUCAAUUCCUAUUUUAGAUAUUUGUUUAAUUCACAUUCAGUAAUAUUUAGUUUCGUCAAAUUAGUGUAAUUCUUAGAGUUAAAUAAGUUAAUUACACAAAAACUCGUAAAUUGUUUAUAUCAGUCCCUGAGGAGAUCGACCUUGCUUGAGCCAUUCUAUACUACAAACACUUGUUCUCUUGCAAGAAUUUUCUAUGGUUUAACCCCUUGUUUUCCAAGUGGUAAAAUCGUUAUCAAGAAAUUGGCGCCGUUGCCAGGGACUGUGCCAACAGUUCCCGAGUUUUUGUGUUUAUUUUUCUUAUACUUAUGUUUAUGUCUUAUUUUUAUUAAUCAUUAAAAAAAAUUAAUUUAAAAAAAAAAAAUUAUUUAAAGAAUCCUUCUUGAUUAACUUUGGUACCGUAAUAAUGUUGUAUAUUUGCGUUAGAAAUCUGUUUAUGUAUCCCUUUCACAAAUUUCUGUUUUAAAUCACAUAUUAUUAAAAAAAAAAUUUAUUAUUUAAAGUUAUAAAAAAAAAAAAAACAGCUAUUAAUUUAGUGAGUUUUGAUCUUUUAUUAAGUGUAGUGGAUGUGUGGUGUGAGAUUUUUGUUUUCGUUUAAUUAACUAGUGGUUGCCAAUUUGCAUAAUUUGUGUUUUUAAUUCAUCUAGGUUUACUUACUUUCUUUUUCUUUUUGUUUUUGUUGUUUAGUUAGUUUCUGUUAAGUUUUAUUUUAUUUUACUUUUAUUUUUUAUUGUGGCUUAAUAUUUCUAUUGUUUGUUCAGGUGUAGUAUAUGGUGAUUGGAACAAGGUCCAAGAAUCAAGUGCUUAUUCCUUAUGACCUUGAACCAGAGAGAAGUGCAAGGAAGUUAGCUAGAGAAAAAUAUUUAGCACAAGAUUCCAACCUUGGUGAUACUUUUCUUAAGGAUUUGUUCCGUGAUCCUGAGAGCGGCACAUCUAUUUUCCAACCUUUUGAUACCAGUUGCACACAUGGCCCUAGCCUUACCUGCAGCAGGUCAACCUUUAAGGAAUUCAUUGGCGGCGAGAAUCAAUGCAGUGCCGAGGUGCAUUAUAUAUCCAGAUGUGGAAGAUGGGACAUCCUUUGAAAUCAAACCUCACAUCCUCAACAUAUUGCCCUCCUUUCAUGGGUUGCCAAACAGUGAUCCCAACAUGCAUUUGGUUGAUUUUAUUGAGGCAUGUGACAACACCAUAAUCAGAGGUUUCUCUUCUGAAGCUAUCAAGUUACGUUUGUUCCCGUUCUCUUUGAAGGACAAAGCCAAGGCAUGGCUGCAUUCUCUGCCUGCCAAUAGCAUUACAACAUGGAUAGAAUUGCAAGAAAAAUUUCUCAAUAAGUUUUUUCCUUCUUCCAAGACGCUUGCACUCAAGAAAGAGAUAUUGGCUUUCGCUCAAAAGCCGAACGAGUCUUUCCAUGAAGCUUGGGAACGGUAUAAUGAGAUGUACACAAAAUGUCCUCAUGCUGGGUUUGAUUCUAACCUUCAAAUGAACAUAUUUUAUGAUGGUCUCAAUGCCACCACCAAGAGUCACGUGAAUGCAUCUGCUGGAGGGUCAUUAAUGUCAAAAUCAGCAAGGGAAGCAUUUGAGUUGUUUGAUAUGAUGGCUUCUGAAUCCCAACAAUGGACAGAAGAACAAACACAAAAGAGGGGAGUUUUUGAGAUUUCUCAUAGUUAUCCUAAUGUUUCUGCUCAAAUUGCUAAAAUGGAAAAUAAUUUUAAUGCCAAAUUUGCUGCCUUAAUGCAGGUAUCUUCCAUGCCCAAUGCCCAAGAAGCGUGCAUCAUUUGUAGUGCAACAACUCAUGACAUCACUCAAUGCCCCAACAAGGAUAGCUAUCCUGAGCUUGUGCAAGAGCAUGUGAAUAUGGUGAAUAAUUUCACUAGACCCAAAAGUGACCCUUAUUCCAAUACAUAUAAUCCUGGGUGGAAGAACCAUCCCAAUCUCAGUUGGGGUGGCAACCAACAGCCACGUCAAUACCAACAGUCUUACCAAUCAACUAGUGAGACUAAGAAACCAUCUCUUGAAGACCAAAUGUCACAGCUAGCUCAACAUAUGUCCGCUCUCUCUACUAGCACCAACAGUUUUGUCCAAUCCACACAAACUAGCAUUCAGAAUCUCACGGCAUCAGUGGGGAAUUUGGAGACUCAAGUUGGACAGCUUGCUACCAUGUUCAAUGAAAGAGAGAAAGGAAAGUUUCCAAGCCAAUCUGAGCAAAAUCCAAAAGGGAUGGAGCAUUGCAAAGUAAUACGGACAUUGAAAAGUGGCAAGAGCUAUGACAACAGAGAAGUGGAGCACCAUGAAGCCGAAGUGGAAGAAGAAGAGCUUACUGAAAGUGCGCCAUUAGCUGCAAAGUCUCGGUCAGAGGCUAUUUCUGAAGCAAGUAUUCCAGAUCCUAGUGCAAGUGACAAUGUGCAAUCUCGACGCAACUCUGAUGCAAACAAGGAAAAAGGCCUUGGUAUUUUAUUUGCACCUUCUGAUAAGCCACCAUACAAGCCACCUUUGCCAUUUCCACAAAGGCAGCAACAACGUUCCAAGGAUCAACAAUGCAUUGAAUUCAUGAAGACGUUGGCUAAGGUUCAAAUUAAUUUGCCUCUAUUAGAUGCUAUUAAACAGAUCCCAUCAUAUGCCAAAUUUCUGAAGGAGCUAUGUUCUAAAAAGAAAAAGUUCUUGGAAUACGAGAAGGUGAUUUUAUCUGAGCAAUGCAGUGCUGUCCUCUUACAUAAGCUACCACCCAAGAAGAAAGAUCCGGGGAGUUUCACUAUCUCUUGUACUAUUGGUAGUCUUGAUUUUCAUAAAGUAUUGAUUGAUUUAGGAGCAAGUGUUAACCUUAUGCCUUAUUCUGUUUUUCAAAAAUUAGGUGAAGGAGAACUCAAGCCCACAUCUGUGAGUCUUCAAUUGGCAGAUAGGUCCGUGACCUAUCCUUUGGGUAUUUUGGAAGAUGUGAUUAUUAAGGUGGAUAAAUUCUAUCUCCCAGCUGAUUUCAUUGUACUUGACAUGGAGGAAGACAAGGAAGUGCCUCUCAUUUUAGGCCGACCAUUCAUGGCCACCGCCCGGACACUUAUUGAUGUGGAAGCAGGUACUUUAACCUUAAGAAUGCAAGGAGAAUCAGUUGUAUUCAAACUCUUUGAAGCUGUCAAGCGUCCUUUCGAACAUGAAGAAUGUUUUCGUGUUGAUGUUUUGGAUGGGAUUGUGCAUGCAAACUUUGCCUCACGAUCAUCUAAUGAUAAGCUGUUAACUUGCCUCACCAACCAUGAUGCUACUUUAUCUAUGGAAGAAAAUGUGGUGGACGUCAUUGCUGCAUUAGAUAGUGCACCAAUUCAUAAUCCAAAGUGGCGACAUGUUUAUGAAAGCUUUGGAGUGCCUAAGCAGCCUCUUUUUCCUUCAAGUGAGCAAGCUCCAAAGUUACAGCUCAAGCUACUGCCUAGCCACCUCAAGUAUGCUCAUCUCGGGGUGAAUGAGACAUUGCCUGUUAUUAUUGCUGCUGAUCUUAAUGACACGAAGGAAGACAAAUUACUAAGAGUUCUUCGCAAGUAUCAAGAUGCUCUGGGGUGGACACUUGCUGACAUAAAAGGUAUUAGUCCAGCAUUGUGCAUGCAUAGGAUUUUUAUGGAGGCUGGGACUAAGCCAACUGUUGAAGCUCAAAGACGUCUAAAUCCGAUCAUGAAGGAAGUUGUAAGAGUUGAGGUGAUGAAGUUACUCGAUGCAGGUAUCAUUUAUCCAAUCUCGGAUAGCAAAUGGGUGAGCCCGACUCAGGUGGUUCCAAAGAAAACUGGUAUUACUGUGGUGAAGAAUGUGAGAUCUUUCUUGGGAGCACUCACACUAGAAUUUACACCAUUGCCGGAUCACUUCAAGUAUCACCUUCCAUUCGAAGAUCACUUCCAUGCCAUGGAACCUAGGGGAAUGUAACUGGAGGCAUCGUCCGGCUGCAAGACGUUAAAGAAAGCGCUUCUUGGGAGGCAACCCAAGCUUUCUAUCUUUCAUCUUUAUUUUGAAUAAUUUUAAAUUUUCUUGUUCUGUUUUUCUCUUGCUUUUUUUUGGUUUUUGUGUUUAAGUCCUACUUGUGUUCCUUUAUGCAGGUAAUGAUUUUGCAAUAUCUACCACAACUUCUUGCAACAUUUUUUUUUCAUUCAUAAAAAAAAAAGGGAAAGGAACAUUGAGCAGAUAAAAAAAAAAAAAAAGCUUCGAAGGAGAAGCUUUCACAUAGGCUGCGAAGGAGGAGCUUCAGUAGUCGGCGGAGCCUCAGCAGUCGGCAGGGCCACAGAAGGAGGAGGUAUCGGAGGUUGAUCAGUUGGAGCUUCACUACGCGGUGCCGCCCCAGAAGACGAAGGCAGAUGCUGUUGGAAUAAACCCACAAACCUCCGAUGAUCAAGUAAAAUCUGACCAUCAGAUUCAUGUAUCUGGUCAAUUUUCCUCUUCAUGGUUGUGGCAUAGUUGUGUGCAAGCUUGUGCAAUUGUUUAUUUUCAUGCUUGAGUCCUCUAAUCUCCUCUUUGAGACUCAUUACUUCAGCCGCCAACGACUCAACUUGACGGGUUCGAGCAAAGAGGCGUUGGGCCAUGUUAGACACAGAACCCGCACACUGCACGCUAAGUGCCAGAGACUCCUUCACAGCCAACUCAUCAGAUCGUCUAGAGAGCAGUCUGUUAUCUCUAGGAGUGACAAGGUUCCGGGCCACCACCGCAGCUGUCAUGUCAUUUUUCAUCACCGAAUCCCCAACGGUAAGAGGACCGGUAGGGGAUAUGAAGGAUGGGCGCCAUAUGUUAUCUGGUGAAGGCGGAGCUGCCUCUUCACCAAGAUUCAAGUCAAAACGACGGUCGGAAGGGCCAGACAUUUUUCAAAGGUGUUAAAGAAAGAAGAGGUCGGACAAGUCAAGAUCGUAGAAGUGCAAAGAGGGAGUUUUUGAAGGCAGAAAUUCAAGUGUGCUUUGAACGUCCUGCAUACCUCUAUAAAAAUCAGCACGCGAUGGGGUUUCGGAGAUCGAAGAGGCAAGUCCAGAUAUCGAAGAGGCCAACUAAAAAAAUCAAAGCGGCGUUCGCUUUCUCAAAAGCUGAGCUUGCUCAGAAACCACGGGUCAUCCUUUGUUCCAGAUUUGUCCGUACUCGUCACAUGCAACCUCUGCACUCGACGGAGCUCAGAUUUCGAAGAGGCAAGCUCGGAAAUCGGAGAGGAAUCUGCUUUUCCAGACGUGUCAGCAUCUCUCACACUACUGCUCUCCUCGCUUACACAAAUUGGUGUGUUCUUUCCUUUUCUUUUUGUGUCUUUAUUUCAUUUUAUAUUUCUUUCCUUCCAUUUUUAUGUCUUAUUGUUAAAAAAAAUUCCUUUCAUUAUCAUUGGGGACAAUGCUAUAAUUAAGUUUGGGGGUGGAAAUAUAUUUCGUUAGUUUAUUUAUUAAAUUUUAAAAAUAAAAAAAAAAAAAAAGUUUUUGCAUUUUUAUUGUUGUUUGUAGCUACUUCUCAAUUCAAUGAUGAGAUUUGAUUUAAUUUCCUUCUUACUUUCAAGAAGUCUAAGUUCUUUUCGUUGUCUUUGUGUUAGCUGUGAUUUCCAAAAAUCAACUUGAAAAUUAAAUGUGUCUAGUCUUGUCAAUGUGAAACUUGAGCAUGAUUUAGCGUUUCAUAUGUGAAUCAUGUGAGAUUAUGUAAACCUUGUGAGUUUUUGAGCCUAUACAUGAUUGAACCAUUAUGCAUCAAUCACAUUCCUUCUUGUGCGUAUGAUCUCACUGUACAUGUAUCUCUAGAACUUGCUUUAUACUACUCGAUUCAUUAAUCAAUUCAUGUAAUAACUGGGAAGUGAUAUAGGCCAUCUUUGGAUCGUUUGAGCCUUUCAUGCCUACCUUAUAUGCUAUGUUUAUCCGUAGUAGCCCAUUGAGCCUUUAACUAAACCAUUUUUUUGUUAGCCACAUCUCUUUACCUUGCUCCAAGAUUGGAGUUGAGCCCAUACACAAAAAUUGAUUCCUUAUUGUUUUGAGAAAGUAUUACAUGGGUUGUGCUUUUGGGAGUUCAUUUAUGUAGAAAGAUGGAUGGAGCAUGUGUAUUAUAAUGACAUGUGAAUUUGAUGGGUGAUGUAGCUUUUGCAGAUUUGUUUCUCUCAUUGAAAAAAAAAAAAAAAAAAACAAAAAAAAAAAAAAAAAAAAAAAAAGAGAGAAAAAAAAAAUGAAAUAUAUGAAAAUUGGAGAGUGUUGAUUUGUUGAAAAUGUGUCGGUAGAGUAUAAAUUUCAUUUUAAAGUUAAAUUUGGGGAGUAACAGGUGCUCGAGGUUUUAUUAUUUUGCUUUCAAUUUGAGGUGGUGUGAUAUUGAGGUGUUGGAAAACUACCAAAGUGUACUUUCUCAAAAUUUUUGAUUUCCAUAUCCUCUCUUUCAUUAGCCUAUCACCUUUAGCCCCAUUACAACCGUAAUAAAGUCCUAUUGAUCCAAGGUAUUACUUAAAUAUUGAUGAGCGAGUUAGGUGGACAAGCAAGCAUAUGGCGGCAUGUACAAUGAGAUCACUUGAGUGAAACACAUUAACCAAAACUUAUGAGUGAAUGAGCGUAUGUCUUGUGAGAAGCUCACAUGUUUGCAUAUGAUGAUUUAAAGGAGUUUGGAAUUGCAUUGACAUGGCUAGCUCACACAUGGUUUUUCAACGUUUUGUUUGAAGGAAAUUUGGUUAAUUAUUGGAUGAUGUUUUGAGCUCUUGAUUAAUUCUUGGUUGUUUGUUUCAUGAUUAGCACUUAUCUCUGAAAUCUUAAUUGAGAAGUUGGCUACUAAGUUGUUGAAUCUAGUCUUAGUUGAGUGGUUUUGUUUUGCUAGAGGACUAGCAAAAAUGUAAGUUUAGGGGUAUUUGAUCACUCAUAUAUUUCAUGCAUUUAUACCAUCCAUUUCUAAAGUCUUUGUGAUGUUUUUGUGUUAAAAUUGUAGCAUUUUACCUUACCUUGUGUUAAUGUGCAGUUAAUUUUGUUUUAGGAUCAAAGAAAUAAAAAAAAAGAAAAUAAAAGAAAUAGAAUACAGAAAGAAGUGGAGGACACACUGGCAUAAAGAAAACAAGAAGGGAGUGCAGCACUGACAGAAUAAAAGAAUGAGGAGUGGGAGAGCACGGCAUGAAUAAACAAAGGGAAAAGUGGGUUGAUGGGGGAGACACUGAAAAGAAAAGAAAUAAAAAGAAACGGAGAGACAGAGAGAUAAGGGAGAUAAGAAAAAAAAAAGGAAUAAAAGACUAAGAAGGAAAUAUAAGAGGAAGAGAGACUGACGCGACAGGGCGGACGACGCAGAGAAGACGGAAGCAGAGGCGCAGCAGAAGCAAAAGAAGUCAGGAGCAGAAGAGGAACCAAAAACGGGUGUUUUAUUUCUUGUUAUUUUUUUAUGGAUAAUUUCUUAUGUAUGAACAUAAUUAUGUGUAAUUAAUUUUAUUAUGCUAGAGUAAGGCCAUGAGCCGCAACAUGAAUACGUAGAUUUAUUUUCAAUUGCUUAAGUAUUGUUACAUGCUUGCUUUGAUAUUUUCAAUCACCGAAUUAAACUAUCUAUGUACCUUGAUGCUUGAUCACCAUUAGGAUGCUUAGAAAAGUUAUCGGAUGCAAUUUUGAACGAAUGUCACGUUAAAAUUGGUUGUGCUUCUUGUGAUUGAGGAUUGUAUUCUCCUAAGGUAAAUAUCAUGCUCUUAGGGAUUAUAUGGUUUAACAAAAGGAUUUUCACCAAGAUUAAUGAAUCACUCAUGUUUAUAUUUAAUCCAAAUGUCAUGGAUAAGUUGCAUGUAGUGGUAUGCGUUUUAGCUUGAAUGUCACAAGUAAAACAUACACAAGGAAAAUCCAACCUUCAAAGCAUAUGUGUUUUCAAUUAUUUAAGCAAUUGGAAUAGCUACGUAGGAGUGUUGUUGGUAAAGGUUGAACUCUAGCAUAUUGUCAAUCUAUUUUUCUUCAAUCAUUUAUUUUAUCUUGAAUUUCCUUAUUUGCUUGUUUUGUUUAAGUUGAAUCAUUAUUCCUAUAAAUCAAUUCCUAUUUUAGAUAUUUGUUUAAUUCACAUUCAGUAAUAUUUAGUUUCGUCAAAUUAGUAUAAUUCUUAGAGUUAAAUAAGUUAAUUACACAAAAACUCGUAAAUUGUUUAUAUCAAUCCCUGAGGAGAUCGACCUUGCUUGAGCCAUUCUAUACUACAAACACUUGUUCUCUUGCAAGAAUUUUCUAUGGUUUAACUCUUGUUUUCCAAGUGGUAAAAUCGUUAUCAAGAAAUCGUUAUCAGUUACAAAUUUCUC
This 8985-nucleotide long non-coding RNA is filed under the name Malus domestica (apple). RNAcentral's name for it is "long non-coding RNA (MDOM_LNC011942)". The record is from RNAcentral. Lineage: Eukaryota; Viridiplantae; Streptophyta; Magnoliopsida; Rosales; Rosaceae.